RNAcentral lists this ribosomal RNA (496 nucleotides) under uncultured bacterium. RNAcentral's name for it is "partial 16S ribosomal RNA". It matches the Rfam family "Bacterial small subunit ribosomal RNA", at positions 28 to 506 of the family's 1533-position model. The record is from RNAcentral.
GAUGAACGCUGGCGGCGUGCCUAAUACAUGCAAGUCGAGCGAACAGACGAGGAGCUUGCUCCUCUGACGUUAGCGGCGGACGGGUGAGUAACACGUGGAUAACCUACCUAUAAGACUGGGAUAACUUCGGGAAACCGGAGCUAAUACCGGAUAAUAUAUUGAACCGCAUGGUUCAAUAGUGAAAGACGGUUUUGCUGUCACUUAUAGAUGGAUCCGCGCCGCAUUAGCUAGUUGGUAAGGUAACGGCUUACCAAGGCAACGAUGCGUAGCCGACCUGAGAGGGUGAUCGGCCACACUGGAACUGAGACACGGUCCAGACUCCUACGGGAGGCAGCAGUAGGGAAUCUUCCGCAAGGGGCGAAAGCCUGACGGAGCAACGCCGCGUGAGUGAUGAAGGUCUUCGGAUCGUAAAACUCUGUUAUUAGGGAAGAACAAAUGUGUAAGUAACAAUGCACGUCUUGACGGUACCUAAUCAGAAAGCCACGGCUAACUACGU